AGUGAGCGGCAAAAGCUCAAUUUGAAAUCUGGCGUCUUCGCACGCUCCGAGUUGUAAUUUGAAGAAGGCGACUUUGUAGCUGGUCCUUGUCUAUGUUCCUUGGAACAGGACGUCAUAGAGGGUGAGAAUCCCGUGUGGCGAGGAUCCCAGUUAUUUGUAAAGUGCUUUCGACGAGUCGAGUUGUUUGGG
Molecule: ribosomal RNA, 189 nt
Filed under: uncultured Kluyveromyces
Lineage: Eukaryota; Fungi; Ascomycota; Saccharomycetes; Saccharomycetales; Saccharomycetaceae
Description: partial 26S ribosomal RNA
Rfam family: Eukaryotic large subunit ribosomal RNA
Source: RNAcentral